This 253-nucleotide ribosomal RNA is filed under the name uncultured bacterium. RNAcentral describes it as "partial 16S ribosomal RNA". It matches the Rfam family "Bacterial small subunit ribosomal RNA", at positions 524 to 776 of the family's 1533-position model. The record is from RNAcentral.
UACGAAGGGGGCUAGCGUUGUUCGGAAUUACUGGGCGUAAAGCGCGCGCAGGCGGUUCUCCAAGUCAGUGGUGAAAGCCCGGAGCUCAACUCCGGAAUUGCCAUUGAAACUGUUGAACUCGAGGACGAGAGAGGUGAGUGGAAUUCCCAGUGUAGAGGUGAAAUUCGUAGAUAUUGGGAAGAACACCGGUGGCGAAGGCGGCUCACUGGCUCGUUUCUGACGCUCAGGCGCGACGGCGUGGGGAUCAAACAGG